CGGCAACAUUCACACUUCAUGUUAGAUUAAGGAGUUUUCACCUAAUGUUGCCAAGAGAUAUGAAGCUGAAAAUUCUUCUGGAAAAGAGUGAAGCUUUUUUUCAUUAAAUUUCACAACAUCCAGGAUUGAAGAAGAGUUAAGUUACUUCGGAGAGCGUUCCUCUGCUUCUUGGCAUCCACAACAAAAUUUAACAAAUUCUUAUCCAAACGAUUCCCAAAAACAAGAGACUCGCGCAUGAGUUUGUUCGCUUCUCAAGAGAAAUCAGUUAAUAAAUACAGUCAAAUCACUCUUGACUUUCUAAGUUUGGGUUUUUUUCCCAAAUCUCAAAAACCUAUAGAUUUUUCACCAUGUUACAUUGUUAUAGUAUGAAUAUUCCGGUCAGAUAUUCUUGCUGCAAACAAGUAUCUCCGCCCCACCAGACAGCAAAUGGAACCGUUAGUAUGCAAUAAGCCGGUAUGCUUGGGGAGAAUAAAUCCUGCUACAAGCCCAAAAGUAUGCACAUGGCUUCACAAGCAUGCUUUACCCUCACAUUCCAAGGCCAAGUGCGUUCCCAGCACUAAACUGAUUUUGCAAGCCUCACCCAGCUAACAGGGAGAAAGUGAUUCCACCAUUUGAAAUGUCAAUACUAUAGAUAAAGAGUUGAUGAUAACAGUCUCAUUUCUUUGCUUUACGUGCAAGAAAUCGAUCCCUAGCUGCCUGAAUUCUACUUUCACGAUCAUCAGGAACCCCAGCAGCAGCAUUAGCCUCUUUCUUUGGCAAGUCUGAGAUCUUGCCUUCGGUUCCAUCUCUAACAUUUUGACCAAGAUCCCCACUCAGUUUGUUGAUAUCUAGUUCCUUAAGCUUUUGCAAUAUGGAAUUAACCCAAGAAUUCUCCACAGCACACACAUUGCGCAUGUAUGGACGUGAGGUAGCAAUAAGCUCAUGGUACAAAACAAAGUCUGGGAACAUUCCGGAUUCAUCAGUUCUCAGAACAGAAGAUGGAUGCACCUGAACCAGUUGAGGCUUGAAACCUAUAGUUCUAUAUCCAUUGUGUCGAAUCAUCCUCUCAGCAAGUUUAUCUGCAUAGCCCACACACAAGGCUUUCCUCAAAUUCUUAUACUCCUGUUGGCCUUUUUUAUAUCUUUUGUCUGCUUGUACAUCUAAUGAUCCCUUUGCUAUUUUCUGCAUUAUCUGACACAAUUGUUUCCGGACAUCUUUGACAAAUAUCAUUCCUCGCACCUGCAAACCAUUAUCUUUGCACCAACCAAUAUCAUAGUCAUUUUGAUCCCAUUGCUCAUAAAUCUGUAGCAACUGGAUGUGAUCCCCCAAACCAGAACCAUCAGGAAGGUCAAACUCCAAGGAAGUAUGCUUCCGCUUCUUUUCAGUACUCCUGCUGCUGCGGCCAGGAAGUAAUGAGGUUUCUGCUGAUAACAUAGCAGCCACAGUCAAUGCCUGGGACAAGGAACCAUUUUCAUUUGCCUCCAUUAAGGUUCUUGAAAGUGAUGGCUCUAAUGGAAGUUCAGCCAUUGUUCGUCCAACACUAGUGAUUGAUCCAUUUUCAUCAAUAGCAUCAAUUAGAUAUAGUUGCUUUAAAGCAUCCGUUAGUGACUCAUAUGAAGGGGGAUCAAGAAAAUCAAAUUUCAGAAUGUCAAUAUCUGGGAGAUCCAACGAUUUCAAGUAAAGAACACUGCCAGCAAGCGAAGAUCGCUGUAUCUCAGGAACCGUGACAUCAAGGAAAUCAUCUUCAUAAAUCGUUGAAGGGUAUAGCCGGUAACACUUUCCAGGACGUGUUCUUCCUGCUCGCCCUGCACGCUGAUUGGCUUGCACUUUGCUAAUUUGCACAACAUCGAGGGAAUACAUGCCCGUUGAUGGAUUGUAUUGCCGUUGCUUUACAUAACCAGAAUCAAUAACAUACACAACACCAUCAACCGUCAACGAAGUUUCAGCAAUGUUAGUUGCAACAAUAAAUCGCCUACAAUUUGGAGGUGGUGGAGCAAAUACACGAACCUGCAUUUCAGGUGGCAAGGAACCAUGGAGUGGAAGGACAAUUGCAUCCAUACAGGACCCUUCCUCUAGGCUUUGAACUCUAUCCUCCAGCUUUGACACUAACUUCUCUAUAUCAUCCUGUCCAGUCAAGAAUAUCAAGAUGUCACCUUCAGGUUGACGAGUAUGUAUAUCAAUAGCUGUUCUUAAAGAAGACUCAAUGUAGUUUGUAGGGCGUUCCUUGCUGUACAAUAUUUCCACAGGGUACAACUUUCCAGGGACAUUCAGUACAGGGCAACCUGUAAAAAAUUCUGAUACUUUUUCACCAUCUAGAGUUGCUGACGUAAUGAGAACCUUUAAAUUUGAAGCCCGUAAUUUAACCAAGCGUUUCACUAGUCCCAGUAAAAUGUCCGUGUUCAGACUUCUCUCAUGGGCUUCAUCCAAUAUGAUCACUGAAUACUGAUUAAGCUCCGGAUUGGAAAGACUUUCACGGAGGAGGACUCCAUCAGUAAGGUAUCUGAGCAAUCCACAAUAUUGAUUCGUGUUAAAUCUGAGGUUCUAUCUUCAAACCGAAUGGCAUAACCCACUUCCUCCCCAAGCUUAACACCAAGCUCCUGGGCAACUCGUCUCGCAACAGAGACUGCAGCAACCCGACGUGGCUGAGUAACGCCAACGAUUCCAGACUUAGUGUAACCUCUCCGAUGCAGCAUCUGAGAGAGCUGGGUGCUCUUACCUGAGCCGGUCUCUCCGAUUAGUACCACCACCGGAUUCUCUUCCACUGUUUUCAUGAUCUUCUCUUCGAAUUGGACAAUUGGAAGAUUCGCCAUUGGUGAAAGGAAAUCAACUCAAGAAUCGCAAACACAGAAUUGCGAUUUUAUUAUUAAGGAUAUUUCAAAAUUUUUUCCAGCAACCUGAACUACAGGAGUGAAGGCAAAG
RNAcentral lists this unclassified non-coding RNA (2898 nucleotides) under Hevea brasiliensis (rubber tree). The record is from RNAcentral. Lineage: Eukaryota; Viridiplantae; Streptophyta; Magnoliopsida; Malpighiales; Euphorbiaceae.